This 249-nucleotide long non-coding RNA is filed under the name Brassica napus (rape). RNAcentral's name for it is "long non-coding RNA (BNAP_LNC007384)". Lineage: Eukaryota; Viridiplantae; Streptophyta; Magnoliopsida; Brassicales; Brassicaceae. The record is from RNAcentral.
CAAAGAUUUAGGGUUUAGGAUUUGAGUUUAGGGUUUAGUAUUAGAGUUUAGGGUUUAGUAUUAGAGUUUAGGGUUUAGUGUUUUGUUGACAACAUUAUUAUUUUUUUGAAUUCGUUUUUUAUAUAUUAUUUUUAUUUAUUUUUAAAUUUUAUUUUGAAAAGAUAAUAUAAUUUGUCAAGUUAUUUAUUUUCCAUAAUUAAAAAAUACUAGAUCUAAAAUGAUAAUUUUCUAUUGGUUAGUGAACCUAAA